UGUAUACCAAUUUUUGAUCUA
RNAcentral lists this non-coding RNA (21 nucleotides) under Caenorhabditis elegans. Lineage: Eukaryota; Metazoa; Nematoda; Chromadorea; Rhabditida; Rhabditidae. The record is from RNAcentral.